Long non-coding RNA from Mastomys coucha (southern multimammate mouse), 441 nucleotides. RefSeq lists it as uncharacterized. NCBI's taxonomy places the organism in Eukaryota, Metazoa, Chordata, Mammalia, Rodentia, Muridae. The transcript is spliced from 3 exons. The record is from RefSeq and is a predicted model, not a curated record.
AGUUCUUGGCAUAAGGCUGAGUACAUUAACAUUGAAUUUGUGCUGUCUGUACAGCGAUGUGAGCUGUGGGAAAGCCUGAAGCACAUUCCUCAUUUGCAUUUCAGUCACUUCAAAGAGGACUCAAUGGAGACUCCAGAACUGGAUGCCUUGAGAGAGAAGAGAGACAGCCCCAAGGGAUGAGAAGAUGGUUUUAUACAUGGGAAAGAAGAGAUGAUGAACACUACCCUUCCUCACCAUGGAAUAGUGCUUCUGAAUCAUAAGUCCCCAUUGUAAAUAAGCUAUCUCCUUCACAUUGAUCGCUCCUUUGCUUUACACCUAAUGCCAACUUUGCAUGUGACCAUGCUGGAAGAUGCAGAAUCAGCUUUUGAUAAAAUCCAAAUGUCUUCAUAAUAAAAGAUUUGAAAACACUGGAAACAGGAGAAACAUCUAUCCAAGUCACAA